UUCAGUUCAGUUUUGAGUUUAGUUUGGUUAUAGGCAGCUUGUUUACUAGAUUUAAGUUUAUUUUAUAAAGUUGUGUAUUGCAUUUGACCAAGUUUUAAAUAAAAAUGUAUUGAUUUAUAAGUGAAUAAGCUUUCUCAAGUGAAAAUGGAGAAAAUAAACUGUAGUUUGCUUUUGAUAUCCCUCUGUGCAUUGUUAUGGGGUGUGGCCGGCCAAUACGAAUGGCAAUUGAGGGAUGCUUUCGAUGAAAUUAGAGGCAGAAUGGACAGGGUUUCCGCAGACAACUGCUACAUUACACAUCUGGAUGAUUUGUUUCUUCCACCAGACUCGGUUUCGCAUCAUCCUGAUGUAAAAGAGAUCAACAUUAACCCUGUCUUUCUGAACCGAACGGCGAUGCUUCAUUUACAUAACAUGGCAAUGAAUCGAGCAUUUUUCUGGAGCUAUAUCCUACAGUCCAGGUUCAUUCGACCGGCUAUCAAUGAUACAUACGACCCCGGCAUGAUGUAUUACUUUCUUUCAUCGGUGGCAGAUGUUUCUGCAAAUCCUUACAUAAACGCCAGCUCUAUCUACUUCUCUCCGAACAUGUCAUACACGUCUUCAUACAGAGGAUUCUUCAAUAAGACAAUGCCCCGGUUUGCUCCUAGAGCCUACAGAUCUGAUGACUUUAAUGAUCCUGUGCAUCUACAGAAGAUAUCAACAAUGAAUACAUUUAUUGCUGAAGAUCUGGGAGCAUUUGAUCCAGAGGCUAAGUCUAAGGACUACACAUCUGAUUUUUACCGAACAAAUGAAUGGUACAGUAAGUGGCUUCCUGAUAGAGUUGGAGAUCGCCAUGACACAAAAACCACCUACCAGGUUGAAAUAAGAUAUGCAAAUAACACUAAUGAAACAUUUACAUUCCAUGGACCACCUGGCAAUGAUGAGGUUCCAGGCCCCGUCAACUGGACGCGCCCUUACUUCGACUGUGGAAGACUUAACAAGUGGCUGGUGGCUGCUGUUUCACCAGUUGCUGAUAUCUUCCCCCGCCAUACCCAAUUCAGACACAUUGAAUAUCCCAAAUACACAGCUGCUGUAGUGAUGGAGAUGGACUUUGACAGGAUAGAUAUAAACCAAUGUCCCGAGAGUCAGGGCAAUGAUAAGCCAAAUCGGUUCAAAGCUACAGCAAGAUGCAAAAAUGAAACAACAGAGUGUGAGCCCAUUCACGGCUGGGGUUUCCGCCGGGGCGGCUACCAGUGCCGCUGCAAGCCCGGCUACCGUCUGCCGAGCAUCGUCCGCCGCCCGUAUCUCGGCGAGAUCGUCGAACGAGCCACCUCCGACCAGUAUUUCAACAAUUUUGACUGUCUGCCUAUUGGAUGGAUCCAGCGCCUGCCUGUGAAAUGGGAGCGUUCGCUGCCGUUCCUCCGCGCCAUGUACCUGGACAAGUACUACGAGUAUGUGAACGCGAGCUCCGGUCCGACCGCCCUGCACACGGAGCGCCCCAACGUGUAUGAGGUGCUCAACUUCAUACGGGGCGUGCAGCCUCACAACUGCUCAUUAUACAACCCAUCUGAUCUCUUCCUGAACGGCGACAUUGCUUUCGGUGCAGAAGAACAAUUUGCGAACCAGGCCAAGAUGGCUGUCCGUAUGGCUAACUUCAUCAGCGCCUUCCUGCAGGUAUCGGACCCGCGGGAGGUGUUCAGCGGCACGCGCGUCGCCGACAAGCCGCUCACUGAGGACCAGAUGAUCGGCGAAACCUUGGCUCUCGUUCUUGGAGACUCCAAGAUUUGGUCCGCCGGAAUAUUCUGGGACAGAAAUAAAUUUACAAACAGGACCUUCUUUGCGCCGUUUGCUUACAAGACUGAACUCAACACUAGGAAAUACAAACUGGAGGAUCUCGCAAGACUCAAUACUACAGAGGAACUCUACACGAACCAACCAUGGUUCCAAUUCCUGAAGCAACGCUGGUCGACCAGCUUCGACGAUUUGGAAAAGUUCUUCCUCAAAAUGAAAAUCCGUGACGACGAGUUCGGGAAAUACUUGAAACACUACGAGAGAUAUCCAACUUCUUACAUGGCCGCUAACUUGAAACAUGGCCACUGGACGACGCCCUACUUUGACUGUAAAGGCCAUUUGAAACAGUGGGUUACGACGUAUGCCGCGCCGUUCUUCGGAUGGGACAGUGUUAAAGUGAAAUUGGAAUUUAAGGGUGUAGUGGCAGUAACAAUGCAGCUAAUGUCCUUGGACAUCAACCAGUGCCCUGAUAAGUAUUACGUGCCCAACGCCUUCAAGGGGACCGAUAAAUGUGACCGGCUAUCUUCUUAUUGUGUACCAAUCCUGGGUCGCGGCUUCGAAGCCGGCGGCUACAAGUGCGAAUGCCUCCAAGGCUACGAGUACCCGUUCGAAGACGAGAUCACCUACUACGACGGGCAGAUCAUGGAAGCAGAGUUCCAGAACAUUAUCGAGGACAAGAAGACUCGCAUAGACAUGUUUAAGUGCAGGCUUGCGGGCGCGGCCGCCAUACAGAGCAGCUUCGCUGUGCUGCUGGCCGUCUUAUAUUUAGUUUAUAAGCUUAGGUAAAACAUGCACUGAGUAAAGGACACUUGCGGCGGCAAAAUAAAAGCCACUGGGAUAAUCCAGUGGUUGAAGAUGGGUGAAUCAAGUUUUUCUUGCCUAUUAUUGCCAUGGUUACGGUCCCCUGAGUCACGCCGGUUUUAUGCAAAAUUAUGCUACUGAAAUUAUUCAAGCAUGCAUGUAGUCCAUGUUUGUAGGUGACAAAUUAAGGAAAGGGCUUGUUAACACCAGAAAAAUGCAUGUUUUCAUAGUUUAAGUAGCAUAAUUUUGCAUAAAACCAGCGUGAAUCAGGGGACCGUAACCCAUGGCAAUAACAGGCAAGAAAAAGUUCAUUCACCCAGAUAUAUUUUUACUGCAUAGCACAUCUGCAAGUUUAACAUUUAAUCGUUACUCCAUAACCUAUCAAGGUUAUUCGAAAUAGAUAUGAAACAUGGUAUGGCGCCUUUUCUAACCUUUUAUAGGGCCUACAGUUUAAGAACCCCUGGGUUAACACCUUAAAAAUGUGCAAAACUUUCGUAGAGUAAAGCACAGGUAUGCUGCCGUAGAACGGAUCUUCAUUUUAAUUAAAAUAUACAAAAAUGUGCGCCGUAGUGAGCUGAUGAUUUUAAAUUAUGCGUGACUUAUGACAUGGAGUUGCAAUCUCGACCGGAAAAUGCCUUAAUAUACGCCAUAAGGUGUAAAUACGUAGUUACAUUUUCAUUUAUAUCCAAAGCUAUAAAUUAUCUGAUAAUUACACAAUUGUAUCUUAUGUUUACAAGUUAUUAGUUUAGAAUUUUUCACAUUUACAAUCUAUCAGAUUUUCUGAUAAGCAUUUUUUUUUUACUUUUGAUGCGUAAACGCCGUCCAUGUAACAACUAGACUGAUGUAGUUAUGUUAGGUUGAAUCUCAUAUUUGGUGUAAAAUGUCACUUUACAUGCAUUUUUAGUUACGAAUAAGUUAACAUUUUAUGUACUGAUAUUAUCCUCGUAUUCUUACUUAUUUUUUAGUACUUACAGUUUUUUUCUUAUACAGAUUUACCUCCUUAUUCAUAAACGCUCACUAAAGUUAUCAAGCCGACAAAUUUCGUUUGUCCCUUUCUAUCACACCAAUACGUCGGUAAGGGAUAAACGAACUUUGUCGGCUUGAUAACUUUAGUGAACGUUUAUGAAUAAAGGGUUUACAUUUUAUUUUCUGUUUAAUUUUUAUAAUGGUUUCUAUUUUUAUGAUGUAUUUUUCGUCUGUGCCGUCCAUAUUUAGACUGAAUGAAAUUGACGCGACGAAAGUUGAGGUUAUGACAUUCCCAUAAGUAUUUUUACAAAUCGCGUGAGCUAUGUACAUACAGUAGCAGCUAUCUAAUUAUCUAUAGUAUAGUAAGAACAAGAUAAUGUCACUAUAAUGGCUUCACACGCUUGGCACACAUACCGAAAACCAGCGGAUAUAACACGGUUUCCCCACGCUUGGCGAAUAUGUCAGUUUGUCGAACAUCCCAUUAGAUUAAUAAAAAAUCGACACUAAUUCCUAUCACUGACAAACAUAAAUCAAAGCAGAUUCGUGUUUUUUUGCUGUUUGCCAAGCGUGUGGUGGCGCCGUUAUAAAAUUCAUUAAAAGUAAUAUUAUUGCUUAUUAAUAUUAAAUGAUGAAUUGAAAAGCAAUCUAAUUAAAAUUUAAUUAUGAUAUUCCAGUGAUGUUAGUGGGUAUGACUUUAUUUCAAUUUUAGUUAUAAAAUCAUAUCAUCCUUUGAAUAUAUUAGUGUUUAUACAUAAUCACAUAAGUAUUUAAUUGUGUGGUACCAAAUAUGUUUGGAUAUUGUAUUAUGUUGUCCUUGCUUUUUCAUAAUGUGUAGGAAUGUCAAUUAGUUUUACUAGAAUUAACGUUAUUAUACGCGCAAUGACGGGGUUCAAGUGUACAAUAAUUCAUAGUCUAACGGAACUCAUAAAAAAUUGCACAAAUGGGGAUCAAAUUUACUUUACUUUUCUAACCACUUAUAAUACUUGUCUAUUGAUUUACUCAUAUUUGAGUAAAGGCUAUCUUCUUUAUAAGCUGCGUCAAAUCGUAUCAAAAUCCUUUCAUGUUUGUUUACUUCAUUGCUUUUUCUCCUGUGGUUAUUUUUGACACUUCCGAUUAUUAAGAUGAAGAAUAAAAUUAAUAUAAAGAAGAAGGCGCUUGAUUGUUUUACGCGAUGUAUCUACGCGACGUUUAAAACAUGUGAUCAACUGAAUGUAGGAAAAAUGACAAUAAGCUUACCCCUCUGCAUUUACCGCGUAAAACAAUGACCAAUUGUCUUUAAACUUACAGACAUUUUGCAGGAUUCUGAAAGAUUAGCUGUGAAUUAUGAUUUUGUUAUUAAUAAGAACACACAUCAGCAAGUAAUUGGUUUAUUGAUUAAGUUACACUUAUAAAAAAUUACAAUUGACAUCAGGAAAGCUUACAAUUUUGUACUUUACUGCUGUGUAAUAAGGCAAAUAUGUAAAUAUCUGUAACAUCAACUGUUAAUACCUAAACAUUUGUAGAAGUUGAAUAAUGCCCACAUACAGUAGAUCAUGUGCAAUUAAUAUGCAAUUAAACAUUGGUUGCAAUUUCUAUCAUCACACACUUUUGUGAUUUGAUCAACACGCUAAAUGUAUAAGGAUCUUUAGGGUAUAUUCGGAAACAGGAUACUUUUAAACGACAGUAUCUCGCGCGUGAGAUAUAUUAACAGACUUUUUUUAACCCCCGACGCAAAAACGACGGGGUGUUACAAGUUUGACGUGUCUGUCUGUCUGCCUGUGGCAUCUUUUUUUUUUGUCUGAAAGCUGUGUUAGUUGGGAGUGUUCUUAGCCAUGUUUCAAGAAAAUCGGUCUACUAUGUCGCGGCCCGACCGUUUUUUCUAAAUUUUAAUUUUGUGGUUGGGUUAUUAAUUGUAGUGGUGGUGCACUCGUGCUAAACCCGCCUACCAAUUAGUUUUAAUACAUUGAGACCAUCUUUUAGCUACAGCGCUAUCUGCUAUGUAGCGCUUGGUUUGUGAAGUCAACCGAAUUUAGGUGGGUUUUUCGCAACUAUCCCGUUUCCGAAGCACUUUUAAUUAUAUCUGGAAACUUGAAAUGUUUUCGUAAGCCGUCCAUUUUAUAAAGCUUUUACAUUUUGUAAUAAAUAUUUUUCAAUUCUUAA
Molecule: unclassified non-coding RNA, 5670 nt
Filed under: Leguminivora glycinivorella
Lineage: Eukaryota; Metazoa; Arthropoda; Insecta; Lepidoptera; Tortricidae
Description: uncharacterized LOC125237506, transcript variant X1
Source: RNAcentral